This 1173-nucleotide ribosomal RNA is filed under the name Triticum aestivum (bread wheat). RNAcentral describes it as "partial small subunit ribosomal RNA". Lineage: Eukaryota; Viridiplantae; Streptophyta; Magnoliopsida; Poales; Poaceae. The record is from RNAcentral.
AUGAGACAAGCAGUUAAAAACUUUGUCCAACAGUGCCCAGUAUGUCAACUCAACAAAGCACACCAUUUCCCUUAUCCUGGUCUCCUGCAACCCCUGCCUGUCCCAGACUUUGCAUGGACACACAUCAGUAUGGAUUUUGUGGAAGGACUACCUGUUUCUGACAACAAAGACCUGAUACUGGUGGUAGUUGAUAGGUUCACUAAAUAUGCUCAUUUCAUUGGCCUUAAACACCCCAUCAAUGUCACAACAGUAGCACAAGCUUUCACUGAUAAUGUGUUCAAACUGCAUGGCCUUCCUACAGUAAUGGUAACUGACAGAGACAGAAUAUUCACCAGUCAUCUGUGGCAGAAACUGUUCCAGAAAAUGGGAGUGAAACUGCAUCUCAGCACAUCUUACCACCCUCAAACUGAUGGACAUACAGAAAGGGUAAAUCAAUGCUUGGAAAACUAUCUCAGAUGCAUGGCAUUUGCUCAUCCCAAGAAAUGGUACAAGUGGCUGUCCAUGGCAGAAUGGUGGUACAACACCAGCUUUCAUACAUCCUUGAAAAUGACACCUUUUCAAGCAUUAUAUGCAAGACCUCCUCCUCUUAUUGCUGAACUUAUGUUACCACCACCUGAAGAGGAAGAUGGGACAGCAGAGCUGGACAGAGAUACCAUUGCAGCCCAAAUCAAGCAAAAUCUCCUUAAGGCCCAAGACAGAAUGAAAUAUUUUGCUGACAAGAAAAGAUCUGACCGAACACUGGAGGUGGGAGAUAUGGUCUAUGUCAAGCUACAACCUUACAGGCACACCAGCUUAAGCAUCCACAAACAUCUUAAAUUGCACUCCAAGUACUAUGGCCCUUUUAAAGUCUUGGAGAAAAUUGGGAGAGUAGCCUACAGAUUACUCCUUCCUGAGGGUUGCAAAUUACAUCCAACAUUUCACAUCAGUCAGUUGAAGAAACAUCUGGGGCCUGAGGCAGUGCCCAACCCACAACUACCACUGAUCGAUGAUGAGGGACACAUUCUAAUACAACCUGAAGCCAUACUGCAGAGAAAACUCGUUCCCAGAGUGCAAGGAGACAUCAGCAUCCCAGUCGUGCAGUGGCUCAUCAAAUGGGUGAACUUACCAGCGGAAAAAGCCACGUGGGAAGACGCCUCGUUCAUCCAGAAGGUUUUCCCGGAGCUCCAGCCUUGA